Molecule: long non-coding RNA, 544 nt
Filed under: Phaseolus vulgaris (common bean)
Lineage: Eukaryota; Viridiplantae; Streptophyta; Magnoliopsida; Fabales; Fabaceae
Description: long non-coding RNA (PVUL_LNC001731)
Source: RNAcentral
AAACAAAUGCCUCUCCACUGAGGGAAAAAGAUUGAAAGACACACUACAUUUUAUAUACCAACAGUGUACAAAUUUCUGUACUGUAGCUAAUUUUCAACAUCCAUAGCCCACAUCUUUCCAUUAGCAACAUAUUCUCAAUCUUUUCAAUUACAAGAAUCUUAGAAUAGGUGGGUGAAGCACAUGAUCAUCUGGUUGAUAAAAUGGUAGCAGUGAGCCCAUCAACCAUCAUCGGCAAACAUAGAGCAACCAUAGAGCAGCAUCCAAGACCAAUACUAAGACAGAAAAUGUUUGGUAGUCACAUAAACCAGCAGAAAAACAGUAGUCAGACAGUGUUCAUAGUUUAUAUAUAUAUAUAUAUAUAUAUAUAUAUAUAUAUAUAUAUAUAUAUAUAUAUAUAUAUAUACACGUUAAGUAUGUUUACACCUAUUUCAUGUGUAAUAAGAAAUAUUAUAUAUGAAUCCGUUAGAGGACUAUCAAAGAGAGAAUCAAAGUAGUUGUUGAUUGAGAAGAAAGAGUUAUGGUACAUGUUUAGGGCAAAGCAUAC